UACGGGGGGGGCAAGCGUUGUUCGGAAUUACUGGGCGUAAAGGGCUCGUAGGCGGCCAACUAAGUCGGACGUGAAAUCCCUCGGCUUAACCGGGGAACUGCGUCCGAUACUGGAUGGCUUGAGUUCGGGAGAGGGAUGCGGAAUUCCAGGUGUAGCGGUGAAAUGCGUAGAUAUUGGGAGGAACACCAGUGGCGAAGGCGGCUCACUGGACCGGUUCUGACGCUGAGGCGCGAAAGCGUGGGGAGCAAACGGG
RNAcentral lists this ribosomal RNA (253 nucleotides) under uncultured bacterium. Its description in RNAcentral is "partial 16S ribosomal RNA". It matches the Rfam family "Bacterial small subunit ribosomal RNA", at positions 524 to 776 of the family's 1533-position model. The record is from RNAcentral.